Molecule: ribosomal RNA, 468 nt
Filed under: uncultured bacterium
Lineage: Bacteria
Description: partial 16S ribosomal RNA
Rfam family: Bacterial small subunit ribosomal RNA
Source: RNAcentral
GACGAACGCUGGCGGCGUGCUUAACACAUGCAAGUCGAACGGAAAGGCCCUGCUUUUGUGGGGUGCUCGAGUGGCGAACGGGUGAGUAACACGUGAGUAACCUGCCCUUGACUUUGGGAUAACUUCAGGAAACUGGGGCUAAUACCGGAUAGGAGCUCCUGCUGCACGGUGGGGGUAGGAAAGUUUCGGCGGUUGGGGAUGGACUCGCGGCUUAUCAGCUUGUUGGUGGGGUAGUGGCUUACCAAGGCUUUGACGGGUAGCCGGCCUGAGAGGGUGACCGGCCACAUUGGGACUGAGAUACGGCCCAGACUCCUACGGGAGGCAGCAGUGGGGAAUAUUGCACAAUGGGCGGAAGCCUGAUGCAGCAACGCCGCGUGCGGGAUGACGGCCUUCGGGUUGUAAACCGCUUUCGCCUGUGACGAAGCGUGAGUGACGGUAAUGGGUAAAGAAGCACCGGCUAACUACGUG